Molecule: long non-coding RNA, 5484 nt
Organism: Dermacentor andersoni
Lineage: Eukaryota; Metazoa; Arthropoda; Arachnida; Ixodida; Ixodidae
Source: RefSeq, a predicted model, not a curated record
GUUUUGGAUGGCGGUGAGCGAGGAGGACGCCCGAGGCAGUUUUGCCAAAAGAUCAGAUGCUUCUGAGAAACAAUCCUUCCACGGCUGUGGCCGUUUGGACAUCCAAGUCUGAGUGUGGCCACUAACCCCAGGACCUGCGCAGCAACCCCUUGUCACGGCGAGCGUCGUCUCUGCGAGCUUCGCAUCGAGCGUCCGAAACGCUCAUCAGGUGGUCUUUGUGCAUAUUCUAGAUGAUCGAGCUGGCGAGGGUGGCGCACGCCUUAGGGAAGUUAAAUGUUCGUUCAGUUGCACUAGCUAGCGGUCACUACGAUCGUAUAGCUACAUUAAAAAAUUGCUUAGCUGUAAGCCUGAGGUUUCGUGGGCAUGGCUUGCGGCCACACGGGUCUUCUCCGUGCCGGAAUCGAAGAGGACGGGCCACGUGUUGCGGGGUGGCGGCGUAUAGCUUCAGGUUUUAGCUGGCACUGCGCAGGCUACAGCUGAUAGCCGUCCUCUACGAGUGCGUCAGGGACAUGGACCCUUCUGAAUGGCCUUGCGACCCGACCCCACUAUUUCGUGACAAGGUAGCCCGGGCGCGUCAGUGCUAUCGAGCGAAAUGUGGAAUCACGGAAGCAAACGCCACUCUGAAAGUGCCUCGCCAGCUUUUAGCUAUUGCGGCGACCUUAAGUCGCCUACGGUCUGGAGCGGAGCCCGGCCGUGCAACAGCUACGGUGAGUGGUCCAUUUCUUUGCGGUUCCAGCUGUUCUUUUCUGGUUGUUUACUUUCCUCCUUGCGUCGCAGAUGAUGACCUUGAUCACCACUCGUGCAGUCACCGACCGUCUUAACUCUUUUGCAUUCCCUCGGCGGGGAAGUGUUGCUGGUGGACUAGACUUUGUUCCUCGCCCGGCACUACUCCUGGCAAGUACCGUGAACACUAGAAUCGUAGUAUGGCUGUGCUCUCGAGUGUUUAACAAGCCCUGUCUGAUUUCAGGUUCCUACCGUCUGCUUUCCAUUGCGGCUAUUCACAAGCAUAUCUGGCGGGCGGUUCUGCACAUCGUCUCCGGCAGUGUUACGCCUGCAUUUUUCUCGCCGGUGGCUUUCAGCUGGGAGAUGGAGAUUCGUUCAACUCCCUGCACUUCUGACAAGUACCAUGUAUAUACACUCCUAUGGUGCUACGGAUGUUUUCUAGUGUGGCGUAUAAGCCCUGUGGCAUUUAAGGUUCCGAACGUCUGCUUUUGAAUGAAGCCGUGUUUUCCUCUGACGGCUACGGUUCGUGUUCUCUGUGCUCCUUUCCAUAAUCAUGUUGCUACACCUUGCCGGUUCCGCAAGUACACCAACUUUGUGGGCUUCCGAUGAAAUUUACUGUCAAAUGUAUUUAUUAUGCCGACCUUCGAGGUUAGGUUUAUGCUUCCGAAAACUUCCUUCGCCAGUUUUCAAAAGGCUUUUUUUAUGUCUCUCUCCGAGUGAGACUACGUUGAAUUUCUUCCGUUCCUGGUUAUAUUGGCGGAGUUCUUUCCCUCACCCGUAAUUUAUUUCGUCUACUCGGAGUGCCACAUAGUUCACAAUGAUUUUGUAACUCUACGUAGUCUUCACUUUUGUCGAAGGUUGCCGUCCUAUUCUUCAGUGUUUCCUCCCAGUUUUCUGCUUCCGCCUAUCGGGUCCGUAGAAGUUAGAGGAAUCGGUUCUCCAGGUCCAUCGUGAACUUGUGGUAACGAUUGCUUCUUAAUAAUACCCCCUACUUCGUGUACACGGGUAUAUAGCUCUCCAUUAUGCAGUACACAUCGACCGAUCGCUUUCCGGAGUAGACUAGAAAACUACGAAUGAGCCUUUCAUAAAAACCGCCCCCACACGGUGUUUUGCGGAGGAAAUUUCCACUUGGUCAUAGGUCAUAAAUUGUUCAGUUCAGCGAUGUAAUGUUGCUGGGACCGCAUUCAAUCCCUUAUUAGUUCCCCUGGAAGUCUUGCGUUGUUCCUGAGCACAUUAAUGUUCGACCUGAGAAACGCCGAAAAUAGUGUAGAACACCGGUGUGAAGAGUCUCCGACAGUUUCUCAGUGUACACCUCUUGUCACGGCAUAUCUGAAAGUUGCUACAAACAGUUUGGCUAUGUCUCCUUGUUUUUUUGUUUUUUUUGUAGUUACUCCCAGCGCACAGUUGAAACGUAGACCAGCUAUUUCAAUAUGGUCUUCGUUACUCUAUCCUCAAGAGGAGGUACUUCCUCUUACAAGGAUCUGGAGUUAUAUCUUCGCCGCACAACGCACUGUCGUAUUACUUUCACUUAUUUUCGUCCUCAGAUUACCCGAAAUAUCGUUAUUAUACGAGCCGGUGUGCCACGUAGUCCACCGUGAAGUUUGUCCAUAUAGGUGUCACACUAAUAGUCGACAGAUUUCUAUUAUUUACAUGUGAUCGGGUGCUGCUCCUCUUGAUAUGGGCCCUACAGAAGGCGCCCUUGAAGUCUGAUUGGGUCUUUAUCUUAAAAUAUCUGGUAUUCGCCUAUUAUCUGCACAUUCGCUUGCUUGCUGAAUUUCUGCAAUCUUGCAAUAUACACAUUGUUCUAACCAAAUGAGGCAGGUUUCGGCGGUAUUUAUUUCUUCUGCUUUUGGUGGACCGUUGAACUUGUCCUCUAAUAUUCACGGAACGAAACAUUCAUGCGCUUACUCUCCAAAUAUUCAAGUAAUUGCCGCACCUGUCAACCUCAAUGCCUCGUCUCGAGAUCCUUUUCGACGUGUAUCUCACACGAGAAUCAUCUCCUUUUCUUCCAAUAUUAACCGGCAUUUUGUCCCGCCAAUUGGUCUGUAGCAACUGGAAUCCCUUCCACAAAAUUGUUACUGCGACUUCUUUUCUACGGUGACUCCUGGUUAUACCUGCUCGAUUUUUCACUACUGUUCACGUAUCCCCAUUGCUCUACUGAGUAAUUCUUUUUCUUGUCUGUGUUCAACGGGUGCUUUAUACAUUUUCUUUCUCCAAUGCAGCACGAUUGCACAAGUGGUCCGAUACUUCACUGUUGCUCGCAAGUUCUAAUUUGCGAGACUAACGACGGUGUUCAUUAGAGCUACUCUAUUCUUUGCCAGGACCAGCACUGUCUCCGCUCUGAUAUAACAGUACCAUGAAUGCUGCACUUGAAUACACCGCCAGGCUUGCAUCCGAGAAAAGUGUCGGUGCUAACGUUCCGUUUCUUGUCGAUGCGCUUUGAGGCAUUUAGUCCUUCAUCUUCCUCGGUAUAUUUCUCCAUGGAUAAUAUAUCUUCGUCUGGGAGAGGGUUGUCCCAAUACACCUUUUUCUUCCCGUCAUUGAAUACCGAUAUUAGCUGUUGCAGUGCAUGACGUUAGAAAUUCCAGCCGACCAAAUAUUUUUGCCGUGGCUUGAAAUACUCAUCGCUUCGUGAGAAUUUCACUCGAGUCUUCAUAUCGAUGGAAAAGCAAAAUACCGUCGGCCCGUGUCCCAGUUCAUUCCUAGAAUACUGGUCUGGCUUCAUCACGUAAGAACGGCACCUUGAGGCGAAUUUAAAUUCUCAUUUCUUCGCUGUUCGAUAUCAAUUUCCUAAGAUUCAUUGCAGCUCGGAGCAAUUUUUUUUGCUCCUAUGUACAUGCCUUUCGCCCGGUUUUGUUCCAAGCAUAACUUGAUCAACGCAAACUUAAUUACGUUUGCUGUCAUUGCAAGAAUUUCUUAGAAAAUGCAUUUAGUGUUGGUCCAUCUGCAUUCAAGUUUACUCCUGUCUGAAGAUAAUAGUUUAGAACAUUCCUGAUCUUAACCACGAGGCGUCAAAUACUACCCUUUUCUUGCUAGUCGGUCUUCUCGAAUUGCUUGAUGGUGCGAUAUGGUAGUUAUUGUUCAGAUUCUUCCGAACUCGCUCGUUCUGCUUUCCAGGUGUGAAACAUCUCGCAUUGAACAGUUCUAUUUUUAUCUCGCUGCAUUUGUCUGGUAUAUUCGAGAUGGUAUUCCGAUUGCUACUUCGUUGAUUUCCACGUUAACUUGCUCUCCAUCCUUCUGAACAGUCCUUGUAACUACAUCGUCCUCUUUAUGCGUCGUUUCUUUCUGAGCAGCUAAGCCAGUAUAUUCUGCCUUCAAAAUGUUCAAAAGGGAAGUUGUCAGUUUCUGCGGCGUCAAGAACCAUGGCGAGUUUCGCGUUUCGCAGUUCUCUUCUACACCACAAGGGUCAGGCACAAUCCAGUCGGGUAUUAUCUAUUUUCCAUUGUAUCUUCGUUUCGUCUUUUCACUGGACUUUCCUCCUCGCCUGCACUACUAUUGCUUCUGCACUCCUGUUUUCAAUUGCGGUCCACAAGCGUUCCCAACGCGCUGUUGCACGACUCUACGGUCUGCGCUCCAAAAGGUUACUUCGGGCACGAGCAUCACCUGUUCCAGGAGCGACUGCUAUUGCUUCUACAUUCUCUCGCCAGUGACGUCCUGCCGAUAGACUGGACUUGUUUCCUCGCCUUGCACUGCUACUGCUUCUGCACUCCUGUUUUCGACUGCGGUGGGUACCUAGCAUGCUCCAGCACUUCAACUCUCAGUUCUGCGCUUCAAAAGAAAUUACUUCGGGCGCCAGCAUCACCCGUUCCAUGAGCGACUGCUACUGCUUCUACAUUCUCUCGCCAGUGGCGUCCUGCUGGCAGACUGGACUUAGCCUGGCGCCCUUGCACUUAAUUCUGGUUCCCUGUUUGCUGUCGCUUGUGGCGCAAGAGAAGCGUUCCAGCACUCUCAUUUACAAGAACAUUCCUGGCCUUGCCUCACGAGCAACUAUAUUCAGCCCGGUCGUCCUGCCGUGCUCUAUACAAGCUUCCCGACACUAUAGUGAAUGCGUCGCACGCCUGUCUGUGCGGUUUCCUGCACUUUGUUGACGGCGUGUUCAUGCUCUGAAGGACUGCGUGUGGUCACCGUCCCGAGACCGUCCAUCGGAUGUGCUCUUACAGUUCGCUGUUGCCUUCUUCCGCAGGAAUGUUUAAGUUUCGUGUAGCAAGCUUUUCUUUUUUAGAAGAGUGGCACGGUGCUCAGCGAAUGGAUAGCGCUUCUAGGAAUGGGGUUAAUACGAAGCAGAACAGUAAAGGUCUGGUUAAGUGGACACCACUCGGUACUUAAAAAAUAAGGACUGGACUGUCUGUUUUCAUGAGCCAAUCUGUAAAUUUUUGGUGGCGAGAGUAAUGGACAUUCAUUCAUUGUGCUCUUUUGUAGUGUGUGUGUCUGUGUGUGUGUGUGUGUGUGUGUGUGUGUGUGUGUGUGUGUGAGAGAGAGAGAGCCCCUUUUUUUCGAUCGAGAACGUAUGACAUGAGCUCCGCUGCUACCUGCAUUGUUUUGGUAGCAUUUCCAACGUUGCAGUUCACUUUUCCCGGUUCAUUCCUGUUUGAAAGGUUCCUGGUUUGAUGGUUUACUAUCGUCUGUGGAGUGCGCUUUUGGAUUGGUCGAACCGCUGGUUUCUUUGGCUUUAGACCAUUGGUUGAUCUCUGUGCUCGUUUCAUCUUUCAGCGGUAUUGUUCAGGCUGGUUUCUUUGGCUUUAGACCAUUGGUUGAUCUCUG